Molecule: ribosomal RNA, 253 nt
Filed under: uncultured bacterium
Lineage: Bacteria
Description: partial 16S ribosomal RNA
Rfam family: Bacterial small subunit ribosomal RNA
Source: RNAcentral
UACGUAGGGUGCGAGCGUUGUCCGGAAUUAUUGGGCGUAAAGCGUCCGCAGGUGGCAGUUCAAGUCUGCUGUCAAAGACCGGGGCUUAACUUCGGAAAGGCAGUGGAAACUGAACAGCUAGAGUAUGGUAGGGGCAGAGGGAAUUCCUGGUGUAGCGGUGAAAUGCGCAGAUAUCAGGAGGAACACCAGUGGCGAAGGCGGUUCUCUGGGCAUUACCUGACGCUGAGGAGCGAAAGUGUGGGGAGCGAACAGG